AAAAAAUCCGGUCAAAUUUUCAUUGUAAAUAUGAAUUCCUUUGUUAUAAGAGCAGCUAAACCUUAUUUGGCCACUACAGCAGCAGCUGUUAAUGGUCAUUAUGGAGAAAUCCUUUACAAGGGAGAUAGGUUAGUUACGUUUAUAUAUGAAAAAUCGAGAUCUAGUGACAUAACGCAAGGUUUUCCAAAAGUGGAACAAAUCUUUGAAGCGCGUUCAAUUGAUUCAUUAUCCCCGAAUCUUGAAAGGAGAAUUGAGGAUUGGAAUGAGCGUAUACCAAGAAUUCUUGGGGUCCCUUGGGGAUUCUUGAUUGGAGCUGAGCUAACCAUAGCCCAAACUCGUAUCUCUUUGGUUAAUAAAAUCCAAAAGGUUUAUCGAUCCCAAGGGGUACAGAUCCAUAAUAGACAUAUAGAGAUUAUUAUAUGCCAAGUAACAUCAAAAGUGCGGGUUUUCGAAGAUGGAAUAUCUAAUGUUUUUUCGCCUGGGGAAUUAAUCGGACUAUUGCGAGCGGAACGAGCAGGACGAGCUUUGGAUGAAUCGAUCUAUUAUUGUGUAAUCUUAUUGUGA
RNAcentral lists this ribosomal RNA (564 nucleotides) under Triticum aestivum (bread wheat). RNAcentral's name for it is "partial small subunit ribosomal RNA". The record is from RNAcentral. Lineage: Eukaryota; Viridiplantae; Streptophyta; Magnoliopsida; Poales; Poaceae.